GUCAGGAUGGCCAAGUGGUCUAAAGCGCCAGACUCAAGUGAUUGCCUUUUCCUCAAUUGGGUAUUCUGGUCUCCAAGUGGAGACGUGGGUUCAUAUCCCACUCCUGACA
RNAcentral lists this transfer RNA (109 nucleotides) under Pelodiscus sinensis (Chinese soft-shelled turtle). It matches the Rfam family "tRNA". From Rfam's summary of the family: Transfer RNA (tRNA) molecules are approximately 80 nucleotides in length. Their secondary structure includes four short double-helical elements and three loops (D, anti-codon, and T loops). The record is from Rfam by way of RNAcentral. Lineage: Eukaryota; Metazoa; Chordata; Testudines; Trionychidae.